Pan paniscus (pygmy chimpanzee) is the source of this 444-nucleotide long non-coding RNA. Lineage: Eukaryota; Metazoa; Chordata; Mammalia; Primates; Hominidae. The record is from Ensembl.
AAUUGGGAUUGCUGUAAAGGAAAAAACAGUGGGUAAAUACAUGAAAUAUACAAAAACCCUGCCCAGUGCACCUCUGUAAAGUGUGUCUUGGAUAUAUCUUGUCCACUGUUACAGUGAUGCCAGAGACUCAGCAUAGCACAGCACCAGUAAAUAAAAAAGAACAAAGAUUUCUUUCGGAUGAGAAAGCACAAACACCCAUUCAUAAAACCAUUGGUGGCAGUGUAUGAUUACAUCUGGAAAAGCCAUGGCAUUAAGUCCAGUGUCUCCAGCUGUGACCUCCAACAUCAAAAUGAAAUUUCUGUGUCUGCACUUGGUCCAGGAGAUAUUACUUCUCAUGUAUCUGUAUAUACCAUUUAUCCCAGUGGGUUGCAAGAGCUGUACCACCAUUUUCUGAGACUCCCCGGUGGGCCAUUGUUGAGGUGUUUGGUGAUAUCAGUGGCUUAA